UACGUAGGGAGCAAGCGUUGUCCGGAAUCAUUGGGCGUAAAGCGCGCGUAGGUGGCCCCAUAAGUCCGCUGUGAAAGUCAAAGGCUCAACCUUUGAAAGCCGGUGGAUACUGUGGGACUAGAGUACGGAAGAGGCGAGUGGAAUUCCUGGUGUAGCGGGUGGAAUGCGCAGAUAUCAGGAGGAACACCAAUAGCGAAAGCAGCUCGCUGGGACGUUACUGACACUGAGGCGCGAAAGCGUGGGGAGCGAACAGG
RNAcentral lists this ribosomal RNA (254 nucleotides) under uncultured bacterium. RNAcentral describes it as "partial 16S ribosomal RNA". It matches the Rfam family "Bacterial small subunit ribosomal RNA", at positions 524 to 776 of the family's 1533-position model. The record is from RNAcentral.